GGGGCUGUAGCGCAGUUGGUAGCGCGCCUCGUUCGCAUCGAGGAGGUCAGGGGUUCGAUUCCCCUCAGCUCCACCA
This 76-nucleotide transfer RNA is filed under the name Thermocrispum agreste. Its description in RNAcentral is "tRNA-Ala". It matches the Rfam family "tRNA". From Rfam's summary of the family: Transfer RNA (tRNA) molecules are approximately 80 nucleotides in length. Their secondary structure includes four short double-helical elements and three loops (D, anti-codon, and T loops). RNAcentral also lists the same sequence under 4 other names. The record is from RNAcentral. Lineage: Bacteria; Bacillati; Actinomycetota; Actinomycetes; Pseudonocardiales; Pseudonocardiaceae.